CUGCAGCCCGAGUGGUGAUCGAUUUUAUUGAGCCUAAAGCGUCCGUAGCCGGACUAGUAAACCCUUGGGUAAAUUGGGCAGCUUAACUGUCCAAAUUCCGAGGGGACUGCUAGUCUUGGGACCGGGAGAGGUCAGAGGUACUCCAGGGGUAGGGGCUAAAUCCUGUAAUCCUUUGGGGACCACCAGUGGCGAAGGCGCCUGACUAGAACGGAUCCGACGGUAAGGGACGAAACCCUGGGGCGCGAACCGGAUUAGAUACCCGAGUAGUCC
This 270-nucleotide ribosomal RNA is filed under the name uncultured archaeon. RNAcentral's name for it is "partial 16S ribosomal RNA". It matches the Rfam family "Archaeal small subunit ribosomal RNA", at positions 477 to 747 of the family's 1478-position model. The record is from RNAcentral.